GCCUCGGUAGUGUAAUGGAAUGCACGGCAGACCGGAUAUUUGUAAGUGCGGGUACGAGUCCCGCCUGAGGUU
Dictyocaulus viviparus (bovine lungworm) is the source of this 72-nucleotide non-coding RNA. The record is from Rfam. Lineage: Eukaryota; Metazoa; Nematoda; Chromadorea; Rhabditida; Metastrongylidae.